UACGAAGGGGGCUAGCGUUGCUCGGAAUCACUGGGCGUAAAGCGCACGUAGGCGGCUUCUUAAGUCAGGGGUGAAAUCCUGGAGCUCAACUCCAGAACUGCCCUUGAUACUGAGGAGCUCGAGUCCGGAAGAGGUGAGUGGAACUGCGAGUGUAGAGGUGAAAUUCGUAGAUAUUCGCAAGGACACCAGUGGCGAAGGCGGCUCACUGGUCCGGUACUGACGCUGAGGUGCGAAAGCGUGGGGAGCAAACAGG
RNAcentral lists this ribosomal RNA (253 nucleotides) under uncultured bacterium. RNAcentral describes it as "partial 16S ribosomal RNA". It matches the Rfam family "Bacterial small subunit ribosomal RNA", at positions 524 to 776 of the family's 1533-position model. The record is from RNAcentral.